CAGUCGCCACGGUAAUACGAAGGGGGCUAGCGUUGUUCGGAAUUACUGGGCGUAAAGCGCACGUAGGCGGAUAUUUAAGUCAGGGGUGAAAUCCCAGAGCUCAACUCUGGAACUGCCUUUGAUACUGGGUAUCUUGAGUAUGGAAGAGGUGAGUAGAAUUCCGAGUGUAGAGGUGAAAUUCGUAGAUAUUCGGAGGAACACCAGUGGCGAAGGCGGUUCACUGGUCCAUUACUGACGCUGAGGUGCGAAAGCGUGGGGAGCAAACAGGAUUAGAUACCCGAGUAGUCCCUGUCUCUUAUAC
Molecule: ribosomal RNA, 301 nt
Filed under: uncultured bacterium
Lineage: Bacteria
Description: partial 16S ribosomal RNA
Rfam family: Bacterial small subunit ribosomal RNA
Source: RNAcentral